CGCGGCCUAUCAGCUUGUUGGUGAGGUAAUGGCUCACCAAGGCGACGACGGGUAGCCGGCCUGAGAGGGCGACCGGUCACACUGGGACUGAGACACGGCCCAGACUCCUACGGGAGGCAGCAGUGGGGAAUAUUGCACAAUGGGCGAAAGCCUGAUGCAGCGACGCCGCGUGAGGGAUGACGGCCUUCGGGUUGUAAACCUCUUUCAGCAGGGAAGAAGCGAAAGUGACGGUACCUGCAGAAGAAGCGCCGGCUAAUUACGUGCCAGCAGCCGCGGUAAUACGUAGGGCGCAAGCGUUGUCCGGAAUUAUUGGGCGUAAAGAGCUCGUAGGCGGCUUGUCACGUCGGUUGUGAAAGCCCGGGGCUUAACCCCGGGUCUGCAGUCGAUACGGGCAGGCUAGAGUUCGGUAGGGGAGAUCGGAAUUCCUGGUGUAGCGGUGAAAUGCGCAGAUAUCAGGAGGAACACCGGUGGCGAAGGCGGAUCUCUGGGCCGAUACUGACGCUGAGGAGCGAAAGCGUGGGGAGCGAACAGGAUUAGAUACCCUGGUAGUCCACGCCGUAAACGGUGGGCACUAGGUGUGGGCAACAUUCCACGUUGUCCGUGCCGCAGCUAACGCAUUAAGUGCCCCGCCUGGGGAGUACGG
Molecule: ribosomal RNA, 643 nt
Filed under: uncultured Actinomycetes bacterium
Lineage: Bacteria; Bacillati; Actinomycetota; Actinomycetes
Description: bacterial SSU rRNA
Rfam family: Bacterial small subunit ribosomal RNA
Source: RNAcentral